Molecule: non-coding RNA, 379 nt
Organism: Lolium perenne
Lineage: Eukaryota; Viridiplantae; Streptophyta; Magnoliopsida; Poales; Poaceae
Source: RefSeq, a predicted model, not a curated record
UUAGAUUAGCACUUGUUAUCUUGCACUCUUGCAAAGUACCUUCUUGAUGGUUUGCGAGUACAAUUCCAAAUGUACUCACGGCUUUGUCCCUGGCUAUUUACUUGGCCAGACUUGGAGGAACAUGAUGGAUGAAGAAGGAGUUGGCGAUGUCUAUGCGAGCUAGGAACGUCUUCCCAGUCAGUUGCCUGUAGGGUUAUGGCAGAUGACUUGGGUACUGCGCUGCUGAAGUGAUGAUGCUACUCUGAUGUUUAUUUAGGCCCUUCGAGGCUAUUAUGUAAGUAUUGGUCAUGUGACCAUGUUGUAAUUUUUCUUAUUCCGCUUUGUAAUGGAUGGUGUAAUUUGAUAUCAGUUCGGUUAUGUGUUCACGGCGCACUGAUCA